Molecule: ribosomal RNA, 492 nt
Filed under: uncultured bacterium
Lineage: Bacteria
Description: partial 16S ribosomal RNA
Rfam family: Bacterial small subunit ribosomal RNA
Source: RNAcentral
AGUGAACGCUGGCGGUAGGCCUAACACAUGCAAGUCGAACGGCAGCACAGUAAGAGCUUGCUCUUACGGGUGGCGAGUGGCGGACGGGUGAGGAAUACAUCGGAAUCUACUUUUUCGUGGGGGAUAACGUAGGGAAACUUACGCUAAUACCGCAUACGACCUACGGGUGAAAGCAGGGGAUCUUCGGACCUUGCGCGAUUGAAUGAGCCGAUGUCGGAUUAGCUGGUUGGCGGGGUAAAGGCCCACCAAGGCGACGAUCCGUAGCUGGUCUGAGAGGAUGAUCAGCCACACUGGAACUGAGACACGGUCCAGACUCCUACGGGAGGCAGCAGUGGGGAAUAUUGGACAAUGGGGGCAAGCCUGAUCCAGCCAUACCGCGUGGGUGAAGAAGGCCUUCGGGUUGUAAAGCCCUUUUGUUGGGAAAGAAAAGCAGCAGGUUAAUACCCCGCUGUUCUGACGGUACCCAAAGAAUAAGCACCGGCUAACUUCGUG